UGGGGAAUAUUGGACAAUGGGCGAAAGCCUGAUCCAGCGACGCCGCGUGUCGGAAGGAGUCCUUCGGGAUGUAAACGACUUUUGGUGGAGACAAAUAAGCAGCUCAGGGAAUGGGGCUGUGAUGACGGUAUCCAUGGAAUAAGCCCCGGCUAACUACGUGCCAGCAGCCGCGGUAAGACGUAGGGGGCAAGCGUUACCCGGAAUUACUGGGUGUAAAGGGAGCGUAGGCGGGAGGUCAAGUCCGGUGUGAAAGACCCUGGCUCAACCAGGGAUUAGGGCUGGAAACUGACAAUCUUGAGUACAGCAGAGGAAGAGGGAAUUAUCGGUGUAGGGGUGAAAUCCGUAGAGACCGGUAAGAAGGCCAGUGGCGAAGGCGCUUUUCUGGGCUGUUACUGACGCUGAGGCUCGAAAGCCAGGGGAGCAAACCG
Molecule: ribosomal RNA, 428 nt
Filed under: uncultured bacterium
Lineage: Bacteria
Description: bacterial SSU rRNA
Rfam family: Bacterial small subunit ribosomal RNA
Source: RNAcentral